UCAAACUUGGUCAUUUAGAGGAAGUAAAAGUCGUAACAAGGUUUCCGUAGGUGAACCUGCGGAAGGAUCAUUACCGAGUCGCCGGGCGCACGCCCGACUCGCCACCCCCUGUUGACCGACCCACGUUGCCUCGGCGGGGGUACCCCCCCGCCGACGGACACCCAACCCAACCCUGUCGAAACCGUGUCGUCUGAAGGUUGAUGUAAAAUCAGUCAAAACUCUCAACAACGGAUCUCUUGGCUCUGGCAUCGAUGAAGAACGCAGC
RNAcentral lists this unclassified non-coding RNA (265 nucleotides) under uncultured fungus. Its description in RNAcentral is "partial contains small subunit ribosomal RNA, internal transcribed spacer 1, and 5.8S ribosomal RNA". The stretch from base 1 to 73 matches the Rfam family "Eukaryotic small subunit ribosomal RNA", at positions 1759 to 1831 of the family's 1831-position model. Lineage: Eukaryota; Fungi. The record is from RNAcentral.